This 209-nucleotide non-coding RNA is filed under the name Streptococcus ratti. Its description in RNAcentral is "FMN sequence". It matches the Rfam family "FMN riboswitch aptamer (RFN element)". From Rfam's summary of the family: The RFN element is a highly conserved domain that is found frequently in the 5'-untranslated regions of prokaryotic mRNAs that encode for flavin mononucleotide (FMN) biosynthesis and transport proteins. Lineage: Bacteria; Bacillati; Bacillota; Bacilli; Lactobacillales; Streptococcaceae. The record is from RNAcentral.
AAGUGUCUUCAGGGCAGGGUGAGAUUCCCGACCGGCGGUGACAAAGACGAUCAUUUUUCAAUAGAACAGUGAAUCAAAGAUAAUAUUGAACUAUAUCAAGAUGAGCUAAUGAUCUAUUGAAGAAAAAGAGAUCUUUGAAGUCCGCGAGCGAAAGCUGAUGUGGUGAGAUUCCGCAACCGACAGUAAAGUCUGGAUGGGAGAAGACAAAG